GACGAACGCUGGCGGCGUGCUUAACACAUGCAAGUCGAACGGAAAGGCCCUGCUUGCAGGGUACUCGAGUGGCGAACGGGUGAGUAACACGUGGGUGAUCUGCCCUGCACUUCGGGAUAAGCUUGGGAAACUGGGUCUAAUACCGGAUAGGAACCAUCUUUAGUGUGGUGGUUGGAAAGUUUUUUCGGUGUAGGAUGAGCUCGCGGCCUAUCAGCUUGUUGGUGGGGUAAUGGCCUACCAAGGCGGCGACGGGUAGCCGGCCUGAGAGGGUGUACGGCCACAUUGGGACUGAGAUACGGCCCAGACUCCUACGGGAGGCAGCAGUGGGGAAUAUUGCACAAUGGGCGCAAGCCUGAUGCAGCGACGCCGCGUGGGGGAUGAAGGGCUUCGGGUUGUAAACUCCUUUCGCUAGGGACGAAGCUUUUUGUGACGGUACCUAGAUAAGAAGCACCGGCUAACUACGUG
Molecule: ribosomal RNA, 465 nt
Filed under: uncultured bacterium
Lineage: Bacteria
Description: partial 16S ribosomal RNA
Rfam family: Bacterial small subunit ribosomal RNA
Source: RNAcentral